Molecule: microRNA, 17 nt
Filed under: Mus musculus (house mouse)
Lineage: Eukaryota; Metazoa; Chordata; Mammalia; Rodentia; Muridae
Description: mmu-miR-1952
Source: miRBase by way of RNAcentral
UCUCCACCCUCCUUCUG